Molecule: non-coding RNA, 721 nt
Organism: Doryrhamphus excisus (bluestripe pipefish)
Lineage: Eukaryota; Metazoa; Chordata; Actinopteri; Syngnathiformes; Syngnathidae
Source: RefSeq, a predicted model, not a curated record
UGUAUCAUAAAAAUACAUUCCUCAUUCUGCUCCACAAUAUUUAAAACCAUUACAUUUAUGCCAAAAGUAAAUAUUAAAAGUGGAGAGACCAAACCGUGUCCUUCCAGAGUAAAAAAAAAACAACUUGGCGAUGUGGGAUGACGUCACUAAAAGGUGCCCGCUUUUGGCGCCAUUUAAGCUGCGGGAAGAGUGACCGGCGUCCUUUGGAUCCACAAGACCGUCGUCCUUUCGAUCCACAAGACCGUCGUCCUUUCGAUCCACAAAUAAGGUACCACAGUUGGCCUGUUGAACUGCAGUUUGGAUGCAACCAGAACCGGCUAACCGACUUGUGUGGAUGCAACCAGAACCGGCUAACCGACUUGGCCUGUUGAACUGCUUGUGGAUGCUACCAGAACCAGCUAACCGACUUGGCCUGUUGAACUGCUUGUGUAUGUGUGUAUGUGUGUCUGCGUGCGUGCGUGUCUGCGUGCGUGUCUGUCUGCGUGCGUGCGUGCCUGUCUGUCUGUCUGCGUGCCUGUCUGUCUGCGUGCGUGUCUGCGUGCGUGUCUGCGUGCGUGUCUGCGUGCGUGUCUGCCUGCGUGUCUGCCUGCGUGUCUGCCUGCGUGUCUGCCUGCGUGUCUGCCUGCGUGUCUGUCUGCGUGUCUGUCUGCGUGUCUGUCUGCGUGUCUGUCUGCGUGUCUGUCUGCGUGUCUGUCUGCGUGUCUGUCUGCGUGUCUGUCUG